UACGUAGGGUGCUAGCGUUGUCCGGAUUUAUUGGGCGUAAAGGGCUCGUAGGCGGCGUGUCGCGUCGGGUGUGAAAGCCCGCUGCUUAACGGCGGGUUGGCUUCCGGUACGGGCAUCGCUGGAGUGCGGCAGGGGAGACUGGAAUUCCUGGUGUAGCGGUGGAAUGCGCAGAUAUCAGGAGGAACACCGGUGGCGAAGGCGGGUCUCUGGGCCGUUGCUGACACUGAGGCGCGACAGCGUGGGGAGCAAACAGG
This 254-nucleotide ribosomal RNA is filed under the name uncultured bacterium. Its description in RNAcentral is "partial 16S ribosomal RNA". It matches the Rfam family "Bacterial small subunit ribosomal RNA", at positions 524 to 776 of the family's 1533-position model. The record is from RNAcentral.